This 490-nucleotide ribosomal RNA is filed under the name uncultured bacterium. RNAcentral describes it as "partial 16S ribosomal RNA". It matches the Rfam family "Bacterial small subunit ribosomal RNA", at positions 30 to 507 of the family's 1533-position model. The record is from RNAcentral.
AUUGAGCGCUGGCGGCAGGCCUAACACAUGCAAGUCGAACGGUAACAGAAAGCAGCUUGCUGCUUUGCUGGCGAGUGGCGGACGGGUGAGUAAUGUCUGGGAAACUGCCUGAUGGAGGGGGAUAACUACUGGAAACGGUAGCUAAUACCGCAUAACGUCGCAAGACCAAAGAGGGGGACCUUCGGGCCUCUUGCCAUCGGAUGUGCCCAGAUGGGAUUAGCUAGUAGGUGGGGUAACGGCUCACCUAGGCGACGAUCCCUAGCUGGUCUGAGAGGAUGACCAGCCACACUGGAACUGAGACACGGUCCAGACUCCUACGGGAGGCAGCAGUGGGGAAUAUUGCACAAUGGGCGCAAGCCUGAUGCAGCCAUGCCGCGUGUAUGAAGAAGGCCUUCGGGUUGUAAAGUACUUUCAGCGGGGAGGAAGGGAGUAAAGUUAAUACCUUUGCUCAUUGACGUUACCCGCAGAAGAAGCACCGGCUAACUCCGUG